AUGCCUAAAUUAAUAGUCACAUUUUUAUAAUAUGCACAAUGAGAACCAAAUGCUCUAUUAUGUUGAUUUCUCAUAACUUUCCCCAUUUCAUAGUGCUGGAUAGACACAAGGAAAAGCACGUGACAGCUGUCAGUUUCCACAGCGUCUCAGAGCACACUCAGGGCCGUCAUUACCGAAAGGGGAAAGUGACAAAAUAUUCGCUGGCUCAAGUUCAGGAGAUGUUUCAGCUCCAUGUGUCUGAAUGGCCGUCCCUGAAUAUCUGGCUUGUGAGGUCAUCUGGCUACAGGCCCCCCUCUGUCACAGGGUGCAUGUAAUAAAACUCUCAGAGAUCAGAUAGAGCCUGUUCAGACAAGUCGCUCUGUGUUGGCUUUAAUAAAGCAACAGGGAGAGCCUGUAUUCCCAAAGAAUGGAGGAUUAUUAAGACAUUCUCGGCUUUGGGAAUAGCCAUUUACAGAUAGAUGGGGCUGAUGGCUGCCACCAGGUACAAAUAAUUUAAAGCCUCAAGUGCCCAGAACUUGCCACACAAUCAAGUCCCACCCUACACUUACCCACAGUGAUGCUUGUGACUUCAAAGGCACAGUAAGUCAGUGAACAGAAAGUGGGCCCUGCAGGUGCAUUGGUGGUCCUGGCCAGUGUUAAAUUCCACCCCCCUGCUCAUGAGCGCUGGGACAGACUUCGGAAUGGUGGUCUUCAUUUGUUAAUUCUAAAGUUAGGCCUCUAUGUGUUGUUUCAGAAAUAACGCUUCCAUCGUUCUGUGGAGACUUUGCUCAAACAGGACUCAUACUUAGACCACAUGUAAAUUUGCAUACUGAUUGCUUGAGUGUUGACAGAGAAUUUGGCAUAAUGCCUUGCAAAGCCAAUGGAUCACAGAAAAGUUGCUUUUCAUCCUCAGCGUGGGUAGAAUGUAGACAUGAGAUGGAACAUGCCUUCGAAGAACCUUUUUCUAAAGCACUGCUGGGGAGAAACAGAGUUGAAGGAAAAUCCAACACGUGACUGGAAUACAUUAGGUAGCUUAUUCGACCUCAUAAUCAAAAGCAGUUGUCACUUGAUUGACAAAGACCAAGAAGGAAGUUACUUUGUUCCACCCCUUGAGUGCUUUGAAGUCACAAUCACCUAUACCUGCAGGUAAAUCUUCAACAAAGACUGCAAGUUUGAAGAUAUUUUAAUUAUGAAUUAAUUUUUUGUUUUAAAUUCAUGUCAUUUGAGAAUGGAGAAUGGGAACCAAGGAGAUGAAUGGAAAACAUGAACUUAAUAUAAAGUAAGUUAAUGAAGCGCACGGUGAAUUUGAUUCAUAAAUAUUUCAUAAUCCCAAUGCUAGUGGCUUCUUAAAAUUGUGACUUAUGAUUCCAAUGGAGGUAAAAUAUACAUUCAUGCAGAGUGAGCUAAAUUUACCGUGGGUAAAUUUCAUCUAUAUUUCUCAGAGUUAGUGAUAUAAAAUUCUUGCCCUCCUGUAACUUCCCAUCUAGACAAUAGAAGUAAACAUGAGUAACUAUUACCACCCCCCCCCCCAAGAAAAAACACAUGACACUUCACUGGCCAGUAUAUUUUUAUUGCCUUGAAUUCAUCUUGUCUUUUCAUCUUAUAUUUCUGAUGCUUUGAUAUCUUGGAGUCCCACUAACUGGAGGGACUCGAUCUCCCAGGGCUUUGGUAAUCCUAAGGAUAACAAAGAACUAACCUCUGAGUGUGCCUUUCUUAUGCCUCCCAAGCAUUCCAGGUCUCAUAACCCCAAAUGCCUUCUUUAUUGAGCUCUUAUAUGCUAGGCCAUUAUUCCUCAGUUGUCUGUUAGCCUGUUUUCAAACCUUCUGUAUAGGUACUGAUAUUUUGACUUCAUGUUCCUGAGAGAGGUAGGUUAAGAAACUGAACUAUAACUGCAAACUUAGUUCUCCAUUUAGUUGUGCCAAUUUUUACUCUAUGAACUUUGAGGUGUUAUUACUCUAUUGUUGUAUUUCUUGCUUGAUCCUUUCACUGUUAUAAAAUAUUUGUCAAUCUCUGGGACUCUUAUAUUUCUUAAAGUUUAAGUAUAUUGCAGUGGUUUGAAUGGCCCCACCAAAACUCACAUUGCAAUUUAAACUUCACUGUAAGGUAUUAAAAGGUGGCACCAGGCAUGAUUUUUUUUUUUUUUUUGACAGAGUGCAUAGUGAGAGAGAGACACAGAGAGAAAGGUCUUCCUUUUGCCAUUGGUUCACCCUCCAAUGGCCGCCACGGCUGGCACGCUGCAGCUGGCGCACCGCACUGAUCCGAAGGCAGGAGCCAGGUGCUUCUGGUUUCCCAUGGGGUGCAGGGCCCAAGCACUUGGGCCAUCCUCCACUGCCUUCCUGGGCCACAGCAGAGAGCUGGCCUGGAAGAGGGGCAACCGGGACAGAAUCCAGCGCCCCGACCUAGACUAGAACCCAGUGUGCCGGCGCCGCUAGGUGGAGGAUUAGCCUAUUGAGCUGCGGCGCCGGCCAACCAGGCAUGAUUUUUAAAAGGUGAUUAGGACAUGAGGAUCUGCCCUCAGUGAUGGAUUAAUUCAUUUGGUGGGUUAAUGAGUUAUGGAGGAGAAAGAAUCCACCAGCCUCGUCUACCUUGACACGCUCCUGGUCUGCAGGUCAUCCUGCUCGUGUCUGGAACUGUGUUAGUUCUGCUGUUCGCUGGCUGCAGAUGGAGAUGUCCUUUCAAAUUCCCUUUGAAGCUUCAAAGCAUACCUCUUUACAGCCAGAAGCAGUAUUACGAGCUCAUAAAACAACUAGGAGAUGCACGCGUGGCAGAUUCUAUCUCAGGGCUCCCUUUGCUGCUGGAGAGAGCUGUUCAAACAUAGAUAAAGACCUCUUGCUCUUCGUGGCCUUGACCAUCUUAGCACUGUGCUUCUGUGGUGGUUAUCAGUUCCUGAAAUUGAUUCAGUAUCAGGCUGUUCCUUAAUGUCUGUGAAACUAUGCAGGUUACCUCGCCUUCUGCACUUGGGCCUCUUUAUCAAAAAGUGGGAUAAUAGGAAUUCGUAUCUCCUCAGCUUUCUGUAAAGAUUUGCGCGAUCAUCUCCAUAAAGCACUUGGCAUGUGAUAGGUUCUGUGAUCAGUAGUUGUUGUCAUUGCCUUUACAACUCGGCAGGAAAAAUUAAGAGUUUUAUAAAUGUCACACCCUAGGCAAUUCGGAGAUAAUGAAAUGUUCUGUAAGUGCUGAUAGGACUGAGGUACCUGGAAACUGCAGUACUUUGUUAGCAUGGACAAGUUUUCAAGUCAUGUUUGAGAAAGGAAAUUUUAAACAGAAUCAAAUUACAUAUUUAUUUUUUAUUCCAUAGCAGUUACUUUUUCCAAAAAGGAUUUGAAGUAACCAAAAUAGAACUAUGUAUAAUGCAACAAAAUGUAAAAUUAGACAUGGAAAAGAAAUUUAAAAAUAAAGGGAAAGAAAUCAGUGUAUAUAGUUCAUAACCUCGUGCAAAAUUUGGAAUGGAAUCCCAAACAUCUGAUAUCAGAUACACUUCAUCUGUGCGUGAGCCCAGAGAAUGGAGGCCAGACUGAACAUCUGAAGCAGAAAGGAAGAGAUCAGAACUUUCCAUAAUUUGUGUCUAUUGCCAACUGUUAUGAAAGUAUCCAUGGUUUAAGAGGAAGUCUUCUAUAGAGAAAUAAUUACAUGCUUUACAUUCUUCUUUGAAGAUGGCCAGAUGACACCUUCCAGCCUCCCAAGGACAUGAACGAUUCCUCCAUCUUGAGGAGCCUGGAGGAUCCCAAGGCACUACAUAACCCAAGUUUGUUGAGUAUUAGGCAUUUGCUGGGUUUCCUAACACCUCCAUUUUUUUUUUUUAACACUCAGUGCUUAUUGGAUUCCUGCCACAUGAAUCCCGUGUUUCCAGAAUAGGAAAGCUGUCUUUCCUGCAUCUCUCAAUGCUCAUCGGACCCAGACUUCACCAGUUUGGAGGGUUUGUGUCAAAAGCAACAAUGUUUUCCCACUUUCCUGCCUGCAUUUGAGGCUCUACCAGACACAAGUGAUGCUGACUGACUCCUUUGAUGCGGCCGGCUCUGAACAGAGAGACUUGGAACGCUCUGAUUUAGGUGGGCUUCGUUUAUUUCCACACCGCCAGGGAAUGUUGCUGUAGGUAGCGUACUGAUGAGCGCUGUGAUGCCUGUGCGUUGCAGAGCCCCCGCUCUGUUUCUACCACUAUUGCAGGGGAGCCCCACUCUUCCACAGAGUCCUGUCUGCCCUAAACUUGUGAGUGAAAAGUGGUGGAUUCUGUGCACAUUCAGGGAGAAGCAUUCGGCCCUUUUGUGUGUUCCUCUUCCUAUACUAUUUUCACAGUACAGGAUUCUAAAAUGAAAAAAUAUUAUGCUUUAAGGUCAUAGAGGUUAAGUGUAAUAUAAAGCAGCCUAAUACAAAGACAGUCACAACAAAUCCUAUUGCAUUAAAGAAUAGAUUUAGUAGAGCUUCGCAAUGCAUGUGGUAACAUUUUAAUUUUCAAAAUUCAUUCUCCUUUAAAAAGGAGAUUUUAUAAUAUCUGUUUUCAAAAUAGUUUAGAUUAUUUUUCUCUCCAAAUGUAUUUAUGUUCCCAUAAGGUAUCACAUGAAACAUUUACAGUUAAUUUUCUGGAGUUGCAUUUGAGUUGUUCUGCAGUUGUCUGGAAAUUGCUUGAUAUAAUGUGAAGAACUUAGAAACUGGAAAUCAUCCCGUUGUUCUUAGCCUAAAGAGUCAGAGAUAACAUUUCUAGGUAGACCUUCUACCUAAGCAAAAUUAGUUCUUCAAAUUUCUGCAUCCUACAUACCCUUUUCAUUCCUUUCUUUCUCUGUUUUUCUAAAUAGUUACCAAAAAGGUGUUGAAUUUAUGGUAAGAUUAUGGACAAGAUUAUCAUUCAAAGCCAAAAAAUCCAGUAUUCCUUCAGUGGCCUUUUUUGCCCUUAAUUUUUUUCUUUAUUUUUUUUUCUUGCUUAAAAUGUCAUCUCAUUCCUGGGUUUCAUUCAUUCUAAAGCACAUUUUUCCCCCCAUUUUAACAUAUGUCAGAUAUAUACGAUUUGUAAUUAAUGGAAAGUCCUGGUUUAUUUGUGUGUGUGUGCUUUUUUUUAUUUUCUGGCAAUACACAAAAUAAUGGUUUAUGUGACAAGUGGUACAUCGUAAGUCCAAUAUAUGGCCAUAGAUUUUUUUGAGCAUUAUUUUCUGAGUGAACUGUCUGAUACAGGUACAGUGGUGAGAUGCCAGGUGAACUAGGACAGGCGGCUCCUGACUGAGCACACGGGCUUGUAACGUACUGCACUAAGCUCUCGGGUUCAUCUUGGUGGGGAGAGCAGCGAGGUCACGGGGUCAGCAUCUCUUUCUUUCAGUUCUUUUUUUCUUAAGCAGAUGGUCCCUGUGAAUAAGCUCUCCUCAGAAGAGUGAUGUGUUACAAAACCAAAUAAAACCAAAUUUUGGAAAUCAGUAACCAGGGGAGUUUGAUUCUACCUACAGCACAGUCAAAAUAAAGGCUCCUAUUCAAGGUCCUGUUGCAAGAGAGGUUGUGAACUCCAGCCUUUACAGGUACUCACAACGCCUUUGGAAAAGAACAAGAACCAGCAGUAUGGAAUUCAAAAUUCAUAAAACUUCACUAUGAGGCAUUGUAAAAACUGUAGAAGAUGUUUUAAAAGUUACCUUCAUAUCAAUAACACUUAUGUUAGUGAGAUAUUGAUACAAAUCCAUCUCUACCUCUGGGUUUGUUCACUUCCCUCUGAAGCCAACUGCCUUCCCCAUUAACAUUGUCCCGACUGUAAGCCUUUCUUCCAUCAGUGGCUCUCAGUGGAAUUGCUCCACGUAUAGGAUAUUUGAAACAGUUCAGGGGACAUCAUGAUGUUUUGUUACCUGGAUGUGGGGAAGGGAGUGUGCUUCAGGAACCUGGUGGUUUUUCCUUGUUUUUUUUUUUUGUUUGUUUGUUUGUUUGUUUUUGUUUUGUUUGUUUGUUUGUUUGUUUUUUAUUUCCUUUGGAGAACGUCUUGUAUCUUCUCUCUCAGUUCUCAUCGUUCGAGUGGACCUAUCUCCUAGAUUCAUAUACGAGCAUGUGAUCUAAACCUAAGCUAAGCAGCAUUCAUUUCCUUUUGGCUCAGGGAAAGGGCAGGUGACCCAAUUUGGGUCAACAAAAGGUAGGCCCUUUUACAAACUGUUGGGAAUAGAAGAGAUAUCUUUCCUCUUUAUUCCACAUUUGCAUGUGGAUGUGGGAGGAUUUAGAUGGACUGAUAGGUGAUGAUGUAGGGGUUGGAAUUAAAUCUUGCACAGGGUAAAGGGAAGGAGGAGGGAGGGAACAGAAGCAGGAAUAGCAAAAACUGAAGUAUGACAAUCUUCAAGCAUUUGGGUCUGGUCUUCCUGGAACUACCUGACUUCCCUGGUACAUGCUACUGACUUGUAUAAUAUAAUAUUGCUUUUAUAGUGAGUAAAUUUUGGUAUUGGGUUUCCUAUUAUGAGGAAUUUUUUUUUUCCAUUUUAGCGUUAUGAGUAUUGUAUCUCAAGAAGCACCUAAUUCUGGGGGAAGCUGGGACAGCUGCUCACUCCGUCUGCCAACAACAGAGCCCUUCCUGAUGCAGAUGUGUGCAAUUCAGGAUUACGUAAAAUGCUGAACUACGUGUUUCCUGAUACAAUUUGAUGUAAGAAAUAAGAGAGUAGAACAGAAACAAAAAGAGUAGAACAAAGUCAAGGCUUGAAAGAAAAUUAGACUUUUCAUGGGAACCGCUGAGGACUUCGCCACUGAGGAUCUACAAUGAUGGGGCCAAGGCAGUACUGAGCAGGAGCUGAAGUGUUAACCAAGGAAUAGUGCCAGUCCUAUGAAUGUGUCUGCAUAUAACGGUAGACAUUUUUACCUGUAUUAUGUCAUUGUAAUUAUGGAUGACUUGCUGUAGAGUUAGUUUGCAUAUUUUCAAUAAGCCAUUAAAAAUGUGGUUUAAUGACAAAGGGUAAGGAUGAUUGGUUUGACACUUAACACAUUCCCCCUUGAAUUAUAAUUUAUAUGCAGACUUACUUUCCCUAAAAUCCUCAAGGACAGGAUUAAAGUUUGCUUGUCUGUGUUUUCCCCCCACACAGUGCAAUUUGAACAUGGUUUGCAGUCAAAUAUUUUUGAAACAAAUAAAUCUGAACCCUCUUAGGGCACAAGAGUUUUACUUAUAGAAUUGAAAAUUUUUAAAUUAAAAUAUUUCACUGACUAUGGAUUUUUUCCAAUCAGUAAGUCCUAGUGAUGGUGUGACGUGGCUGGAUUGCAUUUCAAGGGUUGGAAUUAUCUACUGAGAACGAGAAGCUGCAGAUCAUUUUUCAGCAUUUGGUUCUUACUGUGCUGAGAUUUGUGUCUGCAACAAAGAAGCAUUUGAGAAGUGGUAGAUUUUUUUUAUGUUAGUGGGGGUGAGAAGUGUUAGGAAAGGAAUUAUAAUGAGAUUUCUUUUUUUGGAAAGAGGAAAAUAAAUAUGGUUGGAGAUCCAGAGAGGAAGAGAGAAAUAUGUCACUCUAUAAAAAGUCAAAGAUCUUUCUUUCUAUACUUAUCAGGGCCAAUGGAUGAGUCUAAAUCUGAAAAUCAGAGUGGAAGGCUAUUUUACUCUUUUCUUUACUGGAAUUUGAAUCAGUAAUAUGGAACUCUUGUGUCUGACCUUAUGUGACAUUUGGAUUGAAGAGUUCCAGGCUACUAUAUACAUACACCCAG
This is a non-coding RNA of Oryctolagus cuniculus (rabbit), 7608 nucleotides long. The record is from RefSeq and is a predicted model, not a curated record. NCBI's taxonomy places the organism in Eukaryota, Metazoa, Chordata, Mammalia, Lagomorpha, Leporidae.